CCUACGGGAGGCAGCAGUAGGGAAUCUUCCACAAUGGACGAAAGUCUGAUGGAGCAACGCCGCGUGAGUGAAGAAGGGUUUCGGCUCGUAAAGCUCUGUUGGUAGUGAAGAAUGAUAGAGGUAGUAACUGGCCCUUAUUUGACGGUACUUACUUAGAAAGUCACGGCUAACUACGUGCCAGCAGCCGCGGUAAUACGUAGGUGGCAAGCGUUGUCCGGAUUUAUUGGGCGUAAAGCGAGUGCAGGUGGUUCAAUAAGUCUGAUGUGAAAGCCUUCGGCUCAACCGGAGAAUUGCAUCAGAAACUGUUGAACUUGAGUGCAGGAGAGGAGAGUGGAACUCCAGGUGUAGCGGUGGAAUGCGUAGAGAUAUGGAAGAACACCAGUGGCGAAGGCGGCUUUCUGGUCUGCAACUGACGCUGAGGCUCGAAAGCGUGGGGAGCGAACAGGAUUAGAUACCCGGGUAGUC
This 465-nucleotide ribosomal RNA is filed under the name uncultured bacterium. RNAcentral describes it as "partial 16S ribosomal RNA". It matches the Rfam family "Bacterial small subunit ribosomal RNA", at positions 338 to 795 of the family's 1533-position model. The record is from RNAcentral.